GCGGCAUGCCUUACACAUGCAAGUCGAACGGCAGCACGGGUGCUUGCACCUGGUGGCGAGUGGCGAACGGGUGAGUAAUACAUCGGAACGUACCUUGUAGUGGGGGAUAGCUCGGCGAAAGCCGGAUUAAUACCGCAUACGCUCUGAGGAGGAAAGCGGGGGACCUUCGGGCCUCGCGCUACAAGAGCGGCCGAUGUCAGAUUAGCUAGUUGGUGGGGUAAAAGCUCACCAAGGCGACGAUCUGUAGCUGGUCUGAGAGGACGACCAGCCACACUGGGACUGAGACACGGCCCAGACUCCUACGGGAGGCAGCAGUGGGGAAUUUUGGACAAUGGGCGAAAGCCUGAUCCAGCAAUGCCGCGUGUGUGAAGAAGGCCUUCGGGUUGUAAAGCACUUUUGUCCGGAAAGAAAUCCUCUGGGUUAAUACCUCGGGGGGAUGACGGUACCGGAAGAAUAAGCACCGGCUAACUACGUGCCAGCAGCCGCGGUAAUACGUAGGGUGCAAGCGUUAAUCGGAAUUACUGGGCGUAAAGCGUGCGCAGGCGGUUUUGUAAGACGGAUGUGAAAUCCCCGGGCUUAACCUGGGAACUGCAUUCGUGACUGCAAGGCUAGAGUAUGGCAGAGGGGGGUAGAAUUCCACGUGUAGCAGCGAAAUGCGUAGAGAUGUGGAGGAAUACCGAUGGCGAAGGCAGUCCCCUGGGCCAAUACUGACGCUCAUGCACGAAAGCGUGGCGAGCAAACAGGAUUAGAUACCCUGGUAGUCCACGCCCUAAACGAUGUCCACUAGCUGCUGGGGAUUCAUUUCCUUAGUAACGUAGCUAACGCGUGAAGUUGACCGCCUGGGGAGUACGGUCGCCAGAUUAAAACUCAAAGGAAUUGACGGGGACCCGCACAAGCGGUGGAUGAUGUGGAUUAAUUCGAUGCAACGCGAAAAACCUUACCUACCCUUGACAUGUACGGAAUCCUGCUGAGAGGUGGGAGUGCUCGAAAGAGAACCGUAACACAGGUGCUGCAUGGCUGUCGUCAGCUCGUGUCGUGAGAUGUUGGGUUAAGUCCCGCAACGAGCGCAACCCUUGUCCUUUUUUGCUACGCAAGAGCACUCUAAGGAGACUGCCGGUGACAAACCGGAGGAAGGUGGGGAUGACGUCAAGUCCUCAUGGCCCUUAUGGGUAGGGCUUCACACGUCAUACAAUGGUCGGUACAGAGGGCUGCCAAACCCGAGGUGGAGCUAACCCCAGAAAACCGAUCGUAGUCCGGAUCGCAGUCUCAACUCGACUGCGUGAAGCUGGAAUCGCUAGUAAUCGCGGAUCAGCAUGUCGCGUGAAU
Molecule: ribosomal RNA, 1326 nt
Filed under: Pandoraea sp. PG-01
Lineage: Bacteria; Pseudomonadati; Pseudomonadota; Betaproteobacteria; Burkholderiales; Burkholderiaceae
Description: bacterial SSU rRNA
Rfam family: Bacterial small subunit ribosomal RNA
Source: RNAcentral